This 1020-nucleotide ribosomal RNA is filed under the name Ascomycota sp. RNAcentral describes it as "SSU rRNA". It matches the Rfam family "Eukaryotic small subunit ribosomal RNA", at positions 74 to 1101 of the family's 1831-position model. Lineage: Eukaryota; Fungi; Ascomycota. RNAcentral also lists the same sequence under 1 other name. The record is from RNAcentral.
CUAUACGGUGAAACUGCGAAUGGCUCAUUAAAUCAGUUAUCGUUUAUUUGAUAGUACCUUACUACUUGGAUAACCGUGGUAAUUCUAGAGCUAAUACAUGCUAAAAACCUCGACUUCGGAAGGGGUGUAUUUAUUAGAUAAAAAACCAGCGCCCUUCGGGGCUCCUUGGUGAUUCAUAAUAACUAAACGAAUCGCAUGGCCUUGCGCCGGCGAUGGUUCAUUCAAAUUUCUGCCCUAUCAACUUUCGAUGGUAGGAUAGUGGCCUACCAUGGUAUCAACGGGUAACGGGGAAUUAGGGUUCUAUUCCGGAGAGGGAGCCUGAGAAACGGCUACCACAUCCAAGGAAGGCAGCAGGCGCGCAAAUUACCCAAUCCCGACACGGGGAGGUAGUGACAAUAAAUACUGAUACAGGGCUCUUUUGGGUCUUGUAAUUGGAAUGAGUACAAUUUAAAUCCCUUAACGAGGAACAAUUGGAGGGCAAGUCUGGUGCCAGCAGCCGCGGUAAUUCCAGCUCCAAUAGCGUAUAUUAAAGUUGUUGCAGUUAAAAAGCUCGUAGUUGAACCUUGGGCCUGGCUGGCCGGUCCGCCUCACCGCGUGUACUGGUCCGGCCGGGCCUUUCCUUCUGGGGAGCCGCAUGCCCUUCACUGGGCGUGUUGGGGAACCAGGACUUUUACUUUGAAAAAAUUAGAGUGUUCAAAGCAGGCCUUUGCUCGAAUACAUUAGCAUGGAAUAAUAGAAUAGGACGUGCGGUUCUAUUUUGUUGGUUUCUAGGACCGCCGUAAUGAUUAAUAGGGAUAGUCGGGGGCAUCAGUAUUCAAUUGUCAGAGGUGAAAUUCUUGGAUUUUAUUGAAGACUAACUACUGCGAAAGCAUUUGCCAAGGAUGUUUUCAUUAAUCAGUGAACGAAAGUUAGGGGAUCGAAGACGAUCAGAUACCGUCGUAGUCUUAACCAUAAACUAUGCCGACUAGGGAUCGGGCGAUGUUAUCAUUUUGACUCGCUCGGCACCUUACGAGAAAUCAA